This 497-nucleotide ribosomal RNA is filed under the name uncultured bacterium. RNAcentral's name for it is "partial 16S ribosomal RNA". It matches the Rfam family "Bacterial small subunit ribosomal RNA", at positions 28 to 507 of the family's 1533-position model. The record is from RNAcentral.
GACGAACGCUGGCGGCGUGCCUAAUACAUGCAAGUAGAACGCUGAAGGAAGGAGCUUGCUCUUUCUGGAUGAGUUGCGAACGGGUGAGUAACGCGUAGGUAACCUGCCUGGUAGCGGGGGAUAACUAUUGGAAACGAUAGCUAAUACCGCAUAAAAUUGAUUAUUGCAUGAUAGUCAAUUAAAAGGUGCAACUGCACCACUACCAGAUGGACCUGGGUUGUAUUAGCUAGUUGGUGGGGUAACGGCUCACCAAGGCGACGAUACAUAGCCGACCUGAGAGGGUGAUCGGCCACACUGGGACUGAGACACGGCCCAGACUCCUACGGGAGGCAGCAGUAGGGAAUCUUCGGCAAUGGACGGAAGUCUGACCGAGCAACGCCGCGUGAGUGAAGAAGGUUUUCGGAUCGUAAAGCUCUGUUGUAAGAGAAGAACGAGUGUGAGAGUGGAAAGUUCACACUGUGACGGUAUCUUACCAGAAAGGGACGGCUAACUACGUG